CCAGAGUCUUGUGGCACCUUAAAGCCUAGCAAAAUUUAUUGUAGCAUAAGCUUUUGUGGAAAAACCAAAAGGAAAUCAAACCAUUCAACAAAAACUGCAAAAAAGCAACCUAGAUGUAAGUCUAUAAAACACAUUUUAUAGCUAUACAAAUUUAAAACUUGGCACAUCUCUAGAACAUACAUUCAUUUUUUGGUAAGAAUAAAACACCAAUGUUUCAACCGUAAAAAGACACAAUUCUUUCACAGGUUAUUUUACUAUCCUGGGCAGAGUAGAGCGGAAGGCAGGGUAUUACUUUAAAAUGUUUAUACAGUAUGUGAAACUGAUACUGGUCAAUUUCUGGUCAGAACGUGUAUUUUAGUGCUACAUGAAGCUGUUUAUACAGGCAACUCCCAGUUUAGGUACGUUAGAUGUGCAAUUGCCCCAAACCUGAAGUAGCCCCAAUACAUCAUAAAUACGUCAUGAAAAGGGGCAGAGCUGGGUGGAGCAGGCUUAUUUCAUCAGAGGUAUGAAAUAUACUCGCAGGCUGACAUACACAUAGGUCGGGGUGCUGUUGGGAGAAAUUGGGUCGGGGGGAAACAAAAAGCAUAAAUAGUAGUGAUAGCUAUGUAAAACCAAACUUAAAAGUAAAUGAUUUAGGUAACCAGAGUUCUUGCCUGUGCCUACUGUAGGGUUGUUCAAUGCACUGUAUAGGACUUGCAGGACCUGCGCCUCUCUGGCAUCCGUGAAUAUAUAAAUCUAGGUUUGUGGUGUCCGUGUGUGGCUCUAUUAUGAUUUAUUAAAUGUGUAUACUCUACUUUUUGCAUUGCCAGAUUGUGAAAUAUGGCAGCGUAUCUGAUAUAGCAGCCCUGUCUAAAUAUAUGUCAUUCAUUAAAUUACUAUUUUCAGCUGAAGGAGGAACAUGAUAACCCUGCAGUACAGGGAAGCAAAUUUUGAGAAAUGGGUGACAGCUUGCUUGAUUUUGACUGCCUUUCCCCUCUGAAAGACUGAAGCAGGAACAUAUGUUCUCCAAUAACCCAUAAAAAAACUUGUUCAGCAAAGAUAUUUCAGCCAGAAUUUAACAGUAGAUGUUGCAAGUGAAAAUGGCUUUGGGGUCAUUCAAGGUGUACUUCUGAAAAGGCUGAUGUAACUUAUUUUUGUGAACUUUCAAGCACUAGUUAGCCAAUACCUUAAGAAAACAUUCAUACAAUAUUUCUGAUCUUAUUGUUUCCUUUUCUCGCUUGUACAAUUCAUAAACUUGCAAGUGUGUGUCAAGGAUACUGUUUAUUUUGGGAGGGAAAAUAGUUCCCAGCUCUAAGAGAUCUACAAAACUACUGGAUAAAACAAAAGCAAUGUUAUAAAUUAUCAGAUGGAUGGAAACACAACCAACCUUUUCUUCUUCUUCAUGCAGGCUUCCCAAAGGCUCAAGGUUAACAGUUCUCCAGCUGUUGAUGAAAAAGAUUCCUCAAUGCACAAGUCAUCUCUGUCACAUUGUGAAAAAUCAUUUUGCAUAGUAAACACUACAAAUACACUAAUUCAACAAAUGAAAUAAUUGAA
Long non-coding RNA from Podarcis raffonei (Aeolian wall lizard), 1533 nucleotides. RefSeq lists it as uncharacterized. The transcript has 2 exons. The record is from RefSeq and is a predicted model, not a curated record. Lineage: Eukaryota; Metazoa; Chordata; Lepidosauria; Squamata; Lacertidae.